RNAcentral lists this ribosomal RNA (2480 nucleotides) under Hutchinsoniella macracantha. RNAcentral describes it as "eukaryotic LSU rRNA". It matches the Rfam family "Eukaryotic large subunit ribosomal RNA", at positions 44 to 1875 of the family's 3401-position model. Lineage: Eukaryota; Metazoa; Arthropoda; Cephalocarida; Brachypoda; Hutchinsoniellidae. The record is from RNAcentral.
UAAUAAGCGGAGGAAAAGAAAUUAACAAAGAUUCCCCUAGUAGUGGCGAGCGAAAAGGGAAAAGCCCAGCACCGAAUCUUGCGUGGAUCUCUAUGCGCCCAACAUAGCGCUAGGGCUCUCUGCGUGUAGAAAUGUGGUGUGUGGAGAGACCAUGCGUCUAGCGCCGUGCCGCCGUCGAAAUUGGGCCUGGAACGGAAUCCCGUAGAGGGUGAGAGGCCCGUGCUUGACGGAGGUUGGCUUGCUGGACGGUCUUCUCCCAUGAGUCGGGUUGCUUGAAAAUGCAGCCCUAAGAAGGGAGGUAAGCUACCUUCCAAGGCUAAAUAUUAACACGAGACCGAUAGCGAACAAGUACCGUGAGGGAAAGUUGAAAAGGACUCUGAAGAGAGAGUCAAAUAGUACGUGAAACCGUACGGAGGUAAACGGAUGGCAUCGCUUCCUAGUGAGGCGUGGGGUUCUUGUGCUAUAUCAGAUUUGCUCUGUCAAGGGGUUACUGCCGGUUCCGGUCCUACCUGGCCCCUCGCGACGGGGGUCUCUUAGGUCGAGGUUCCGGGCACACGAUGCGUGGGCAACCCUCACCCUUAGCCCUGGCAGGAAAGUACGUUGGUCAGUCUGACUCCCUCACGUCUCAUGCUGCCACCCGUUGGGAACCGUCCAGACUCUCCCGUCAGCUAUCCAAGUUCGGAUUCGUUCCAUUGGAGUUCGCGUCGGGUAACGAGUGAGACGUGCGCCCGACGGGCACCGCCGGUGUUAGCCAGCCUCUCAUUCUCCUGGGUUUCCGGGAGGGGGUGUGCCGAGUUCUUCGGUGGCUCUCAACCGGUUUUUUACAGUAAAACGGUGGCUGUAUUGUCGGGUGCCAUCCGACCCGUCUUGAAACACGGACCAAGGAGUUCGCCUCACCGGCGAGUCGUAGGGUUCUUUACGAGACCUGAGCGGCACAAUGAAAGUGACGGACGUUGGGACUCAUGGCGUCAGCGGCCGUUUGGACCAAGCAGAAGUCUUGUGGGGUGAUCCUGAACCGAGUGAAACUGCGGGAACCUUGCCCGGCGUGCGCGUCGGCUUGGGGAGUAGUGAAUCGAGGUGUUUAAACUCAGGCGCAACCCCCGGGCGGGCGCUACCCUCUCCUAGCCUUGGUGCCAUGCAGCGCCCUGGUUUUCUGGGGGGAAUGCGUCUCGUACCGUGAGCCGGUGGGACGAUACCCGAAAGAUGGUGAACUAUGCCUGGCCAGGACGAAGCCGGGGGAAACCCCGGUGGAGGUCCGUAGCGAUUCUGACGUGCAAAUCGAUCGUGAGAGCUGGGUAUAGGGGCGAAAGACCAAUCGAACUGUCUAGUAGCUGGUUCCUCCUGAAGUUUCCCUCAGGAUAGCUGGUGCUCAAACAAACGGAAUCACAUCCGGUAAAGCGAAUGAUUAGAGGCACUCCGGGGUCCACGGACCUCGACCUAUUCUCAAACUCUAAAUCGGGUGUUGGGCGCGCUGACCAAAGGCAGCCGUCGCAACGAUCCGUGGGUGCUCAGUGGGCCAUUUUUGGUAAGCAGAACUGGCGAUGUGGGAUGAACCAAACGCGUGGUUAAGGCGCCUAAACGAUGCUAAAUUACCGAUACGGUAAAGGGAGUCGGUCGCUCUAGACAGCAGGACGGUGGCCACGGAAGUUGGCACCCGCUAAGGAGUGUGUAAAAACUCACCUGCCGAAGCGACCGGUCUCGAAAAUGGAUGGCGCUCAAGCAUCGUGCCGAUACCACGCCGUUCGGGCAGAGCUCGCUCAACGGUGCGCAUACGCCCGAACGAGUAGGGAGGCGCGGCGGUGGCAGAGAAGCGUUCUGGGGGUGACCCUGCGUGGAGCCGCCGUCGGUGCAGAUCUUGGUGGUAGUAGCAAAUACUCUGGAGAGAAAACUGACCUGAAGGCCGAUGUGGAGAAGGGUUUCCCGUCAACAGAGAUUGGUCGGGAGUGAGUCGGUCCUAAGCCUCUGACGAACAGUCAGCCACUCCAAGGCGCCUCGUUCCAUCACAUGCCGAUUCCUGGUCUUCCCGACCAGGCCGAAAGGCAGAMGGUUCGUGCGUGCCGGAGUUCGCGAGGUGAAAGGGAACACGGUCUGAAUUCCGUGACCCAGCCGUGGGUGUUUCGUUAAGUGGUGAAUCGACGAAUCGGUGCAGGUAGCCGUAUACCCAGGGGUUCUCGCCAUGCAGCGGUUCUCCUUGGGCCAUGGUCCUCGCCGGUCGGUCACCGCCGCGGUAACGCCACAUGGGCGCCGAAUCAGUUGGUACACUGGACAGGGAAGAGCUAUCUUUUCUGCUUAAGGUGCUGUAGGCCCUGAAAACUUGUCGCUUGGCGAGUGGGUUCACGGUUACCGAAGAGCACCGCAGUCCUCUAGCGGUGUCCUGUUCCAGGUACCGGCCCUUGAAGGUUCGGUUGUUGGCCCUCCGCACUCCGGUGCCGGAACCCCACGGCGGCACGUACCAAUUACCGCAUCAGGUCUCCGAGGUC